This 255-nucleotide ribosomal RNA is filed under the name uncultured bacterium. RNAcentral's name for it is "partial 16S ribosomal RNA". It matches the Rfam family "Bacterial small subunit ribosomal RNA", at positions 524 to 776 of the family's 1533-position model. The record is from RNAcentral.
UACGUAGGGUGCAAGCGUUAAUCGGAAUACUGGGCGUAAAGCGUGCGCAGGCGGUGAUGUAAGACAGGUGUGAAAUCCCCGGGCUUAACCUGGGAACUGGCAUUUGUGACUGCAUCGCUGGAGUGCGGCAGAGGGGAUGGAAUUCCGGCGUGUAGCAGUGAAAUGCGUAGAUAUGCGGAGGAACACCGGAUGGCGAAGGCAGUGUCCGUGGGAAGUACCUGACGCUCGAGGUGCGAAAGCUAGGGAGCGAACAGG